Molecule: transfer RNA, 77 nt
Filed under: Salmonella enterica subsp. enterica serovar Dublin
Lineage: Bacteria; Pseudomonadati; Pseudomonadota; Gammaproteobacteria; Enterobacterales; Enterobacteriaceae
Description: tRNA-Arg
Rfam family: tRNA
About the family: Transfer RNA (tRNA) molecules are approximately 80 nucleotides in length. Their secondary structure includes four short double-helical elements and three loops (D, anti-codon, and T loops).
Source: RNAcentral
GCGCCCGUAGCUCAGUUGGUUCGAGCAACGGCCUUCUAAGCCGUGGGUCGCAGGUUCGAAUCCUGCAGGGCGCGCUA